GAUGAAGAACGCAGCGAAAUGCGAUAAGUAAUGUGAAUUGCAGAAUUCAGUGAAUCAUCGAAUCUUUGAACGCACAUUGCGCCCCCUGGUAUUCCGGGGGGCAUGCCUGUUCGAGCGUCAUUUCACCACUCAAGCCUCGCUUGGUAUUGGGCAUCGCGGUCCGCCGCGCGCCUCAAAUCGACCGGCUGGGUCUUCUGUCCCCUAAGCGUUGUGGGAACUAUUCGCUAAAGGGUGUUCGGGAGGCUACGCCGUAAAACAACCCCAUUUCUAAGGUUGACCUCGGAUCAGGUAGGGAUACCCGCUGAACUUAAGCAUAUCAAUAAGCGGAGGA
RNAcentral lists this unclassified non-coding RNA (331 nucleotides) under soil metagenome. RNAcentral describes it as "partial contains 5.8S ribosomal RNA, internal transcribed spacer 2, and large subunit ribosomal RNA". The stretch from base 1 to 120 matches the Rfam family "5.8S ribosomal RNA", at positions 35 to 154 of the family's 154-position model. The record is from RNAcentral.